AGCGGCGGACGGGUGAGUAAUACUUAGGAAUCUGCCUAUUAAUGGGGGACAACAUCUCGAAAGGGAUGCUAAUACCGCAUACGCCCUACGGGGGAAAGCAGGGGAUCUUCGGACCUUGCGCUAUUGGAUGAGCCCAAGUCAGAUUAGCUAGUUGGUGAGGUAAUGGCUCACCAAGGCGACGAUCUGUAGCUGGUCUGAGAGGAUGAUCAGCCACACUGGGACUGAGACACGGCCCAGACUCC
This 242-nucleotide ribosomal RNA is filed under the name uncultured bacterium. RNAcentral's name for it is "partial 16S ribosomal RNA". It matches the Rfam family "Bacterial small subunit ribosomal RNA", at positions 94 to 339 of the family's 1533-position model. The record is from RNAcentral.